RNAcentral lists this long non-coding RNA (755 nucleotides) under Pongo abelii (Sumatran orangutan). RNAcentral's name for it is "lincRNA". Lineage: Eukaryota; Metazoa; Chordata; Mammalia; Primates; Hominidae. The record is from RNAcentral.
AGAGUUGGAAUUUUGUUCUAAGGAUGAUAGAAGCCAUUGGAAGGUUUUCUUUGCCAAAGUGAUGUGAUCUGAUAGAAGCUUUUAUGAAGCCCACGUUGUCUACUGUGCAGAGAAUGGAGUAACAGGCCGAGAGGAACCCUAGGGAGACCAGUUAAGAGGCAGAGACAGUGAAGAGGCAAAUACAAUUUCUGACUUACAUAAUGAUGUAUGCACAAGAAGCCUCUCCUUGAAUGUAUUAAUUCAGCAAACAGUUAUGGAGUCCUUACAAUGUGCUAGUGGAACUUUGAAGAUGAACCCAAAUUUGGAUCCUGGCCUGAAAAGGCUCAAAGCCUAAUACGGGGGGGUCUCGCCCUUAUCUCCGUUCUUCUCCCUGCACUCCCACCACCUUACUUACUCCCAUGGCAUGCUACAUCCUUGCAUAAAUAUGCCCAAGGCAGAUGUGGUAAUGAAGAUUGGUUGAGAAUUCUGAAGGCAGACAUCCCAGACACCAAUGACACCAUUUCUCUGUGGCUCACUUUUCUUAUCUGUGAAAAGGGAGCUAGUUACCACCAGCCCCAACCCCAAUCCUCUCCCCACCUCACAGAAUGGGGAGAGGAUUCAGUGGGCAGUCCCUGGCAUAGGGGCCACAGGCUCUACAACACCAAAUAUCGUUCAUAUUCUAGUUCUGUAUUCUGUGUCCCCUAUUGCCCCAAUAUAAGUUCAUUUAAAACAAAAAGCUUCUAUCUCAGGUAGAAAACCCAUCAUCACUGGGCAUU